Molecule: ribosomal RNA, 507 nt
Filed under: uncultured bacterium
Lineage: Bacteria
Description: bacterial SSU rRNA
Rfam family: Bacterial small subunit ribosomal RNA
Source: RNAcentral
CUGGCUCAGGAUGAACGCUGGCGGCAGGCCUAACACAUGCAAGUCGCGGGGCAGCACGGGUAGCAAUACCUGGUGGCGACCGGCGCACGGGUGCGUAACGCGUAUGCAACCUGCCCCCAUCAGGGAAUAGCCCGCCGAAAGGCGGAUUAAUGCCCCAUAGGCCCAGGGCGCCGCAUGGCGCUAUGGGUAAAGCUCCGGCGGAUGGGGAUGGGCAUGCGUGCCAUUAGCUAGUUGGGCGGUAACGGCGCACCAAGGCGACGAUGGCUAGGGGGUCUGAGAGGAUGGUCCCCCACACUGGUACUGAGACACGGACCAGACUCCUACGGGAGGCAGCAGUGAGGAAUAUUGGUCAAUGGGCGGAAGCCUGAACCAGCCAAUGCCGCGUGCAGGAUGACCGGCCCUACGGGUUGUAAACUGUCCUUUUCCCCGGGAAGAAUAACGCCCCUCGUGAGGGGUGAUGCCGGGUACCGGGGAAUAAGGAUCGGCUAACUCCGUGCCAGCCGCGGC